This 252-nucleotide ribosomal RNA is filed under the name uncultured bacterium. RNAcentral describes it as "partial 16S ribosomal RNA". It matches the Rfam family "Bacterial small subunit ribosomal RNA", at positions 524 to 776 of the family's 1533-position model. The record is from RNAcentral.
UACGGGGGGAGCAAGCGUUGUCCGGAAUCAUUGGGCGUAAAGCGCGUGUAGGCGGUUCGAUAAGUCUGCUGUGAAAGUCCAGGGCUCAACCCUGGAAAGCCGGUGGAUACUGUCGGACUAGAGUGCGGAAGAGGCGAGUGGAAUUCCCGGUGUAGCGGUGAAAUGCGCAGAUAUCGGGAGGAACACCAAUUGCGAAGGCAGCUCGCUGGGACGUUACUGACGCUGAGACGCGAAAGCGUGGGAGCAAACAGG